AGAGUUUGAUCCUGGCUCAGGACGAACGCUGGCGGCGUGCCUAAUACAUGCAAGUCGAACGCACUGACGUCGACCGAAGCUGCUUGCAGUGGACGUUGAUUGACGUGAGUGGCGGACGGGUGAGUAACACGUGGGUAACCUACCCUUAAGUGGGGGAUAACAUUUGGAAACAGAUGCUAAUACCGCAUAACCAUUCAGACCACAUGGUCUGAAUGUAAAAGACGGCCUUUGGCUGUCACUUUUGGACGGACCCGCGGCGUAUUAGUUAGUUGGUAAGGUAACGGCUUACCAAGACAAUGAUACGUAGCCGACCUGAGAGGGUAAUCGGCCACAUUGGGACUGAGACACGGCCCAAACUCCUACGGGAGGCAGCAGUAGGGAAUCUUCCACAAUGGACGAAAGUCUGAUGGAGCAACGCCGCGUGAGUGAAGAAGGUUUUAGGAUCGUAAAACUCUGUUGUUGGAGAAGAACAGGGACUAGAGUAACUGUUAGUCCUUUGACGGUAUCCAACCAGAAAGCCACGGCUAACUACGUGCCAGCAGCCGCGGUAAUACGUAGGUGGCAAGCGUUGUCCGGAUUUAUUGGGCGUAAAGCGAGCGCAGGCGGUUUUUUAAGUCUGAUGUGAAAGCCUUCGGCUUAACCGAAGAAGUGCAUUAGAAACUGGGAAACUUGAGUGCAGAAGAGGACAGUGGAACUCCAUGUGUAGCGGUGAAAUGCGUAGAUAUAUGGAAGAACACCAGUGGCGAAGGCGGCUGUCUGGUCUGUAACUGACGCUGAGGCUCGAAAGUAUGGGGAGCGAACAGGAUUAGAUACCCUGGUAGUCCAUACCGUAAACGAUGAAUGCUAAGUGUUGGAGGGUUUCCGCCCUUCAGUGCUGCAGCUAACGCAUUAAGCAUUCCGCCUGGGGAGUACGACCGCAAGGUUGAAACUCAAAGGAAUUGACGGGGGCCCGCACAAGCGGUGGAGCAUGUGGUUUAAUUCGAAGCAACGCGAAGAACCUUACCAGGUCUUGACAUCCUUUGACCACUGUAGAGAUACAGCUUUCCCUUCGGGGACAAAGUGACAGGUGGUGCAUGGUUGUCGUCAGCUCGUGUCGUGAGAUGUUGGGUUAAGUCCCGCAACGAGCGCAACCCUUAUGACUAGUUGCCAGCAUUUAGUUGGGCACUCUAGUAAGACUGCCGGUGACAAACCGGAGGAAGGUGGGGAUGACGUCAAAUCAGCAUGCCCCUUAUGACCUGGGCUACACACGUGCUACAAUGGUCCGGUACAACGAGUUGCGAACCCGCGAGGGUAAGCUAAUCUCUUAAAGCCGAUCUCAGUUCGGAUUGUAGGCUGCAACUCGCCUACAUGAAGCCGGAAUCGCUAGUAAUCGCGGAUCAGCACGCCGCGGUGAAUACGUUCCCGGGCCUUGUACACACCGCCCGUCACACCAUGAGAGUUUGUAACACCCGAAGUCGGUGGGGUAACCCUUUUAGGGAACUAGCCGCCUAAGGUGGGACAGAUGAUUGGGGUGAAGUCGUAACAAGGUAACC
This 1532-nucleotide ribosomal RNA is filed under the name Loigolactobacillus coryniformis subsp. torquens. RNAcentral's name for it is "bacterial SSU rRNA". It matches the Rfam family "Bacterial small subunit ribosomal RNA". Lineage: Bacteria; Bacillati; Bacillota; Bacilli; Lactobacillales; Lactobacillaceae. The record is from RNAcentral.